This 304-nucleotide long non-coding RNA is filed under the name Nicotiana benthamiana. RNAcentral describes it as "long non-coding RNA (NBEN_LNC009711)". Lineage: Eukaryota; Viridiplantae; Streptophyta; Magnoliopsida; Solanales; Solanaceae. The record is from RNAcentral.
ACUGAAGCUAGAGGAACCAUGGGUUAUAUUGCACCAGAAGUUUUAUCCAGCAACUUUGGAAAAGCGUCUCAUAAAUCUGAUGUCUAUAGCUUUGGAAUGAUGCUACUUGAAAUGGUUGGAGGAAGGACUAUCCAGCAACUUCGGAAAAGCGUCUCAUAAAUCUGAUGUCUAUAGCUUUGGAAUGAUGCUACUUGAAAUGGUUGGAGGAAGGAAGAAUUUUGACGCAAAGGCCAGUAAUAGCCAAGUGAACUUUCCUGAGUGGAUUCAUCAACAGCUGAAUGAAGGAGAAGAGUUGAAAAUCAGG